RNAcentral lists this long non-coding RNA (4487 nucleotides) under Taeniopygia guttata (zebra finch). RNAcentral's name for it is "lncRNA (ENSTGUG00000024583.1)". Lineage: Eukaryota; Metazoa; Chordata; Aves; Passeriformes; Estrildidae. The record is from RNAcentral.
UUUUUUUCGGUGUUGUCUAUUUCCUUUUAUUUAGUUGCAAAUAUACACAUUUUUUCUGUGAUAACUCCACUGGAACUGCUCAAAGAACCAACAUUUCAGCACCUGUUCAUCUGAUUUGCUGAAUAAGGGACAUUACACAUCUGGAGUGCCUGUGGAGAUGUCCUCUUCUUCUGUUUGGAAAUUAUGCUCCAGUAAAUUUCAGAAACAGGAAUCUCACCACCAAAAGUGGAAACUUUACAAUUAAAGGUAUGUUGGACAACUGUAGCUGCACAUACACAGACCAAAACACUGCAGUCCAACGCCACCUUCUGCAGUGCCAGGUCAGGAGAGUUCUGGCCACACUGUGUCCACACAUAUGCAAUCCUCAGUUUCACUUGGAGCCAACCUGGUUUUUCUUUUCUGUGUACAGUACUCUUUAAAGGUGAUUACAGUUACAAACAAUUCAUCAAUUAAAUAAUAGUAAUGAUAAUAAUAAUCAUCAUCAUCAUCAAGACUUAUACAACCUCUUGGCUUGAGUAUUAGCUACUUAACAAUUGCUUGUAUUUAUAAUUGUACCAGUCCUCCAAAAUAAAUGUACAAUCAAGAAGACAAUGAUUUUUUCUUCAAUGUUCUAAAAAGAGUAUGAAAUCACAUGUAAGGUUUCUUUUUGGAAAUUAUUUAUAUUAUUUAUUUGUUUUAGUCACUGUUAGUAAAUUGGAAGCUGACAUUGGAAGCUGACAUAAAACUUGUUUCCAAAUGUAUAAAGUUUUUUCUUUUCAGUAAUAUAUUAAUCACAAGUCAGCUAAAUAAUUAAUACCAUAACUUAACUCUAAGCAAUUGUCUCAUUAUCACUGUUUAAUUCACAGGCACUGGAGUCGACCAACUAAACUCUCUUGACACCUUAACGACACAUUAAAUUCACAGUAACUAAUGCAAAUGGUUUAUAAUUUCCUAGCAUUCAUUAAAACUGUAAUAAAGGCAAGGACAUUCUUUUCUUCUACUGUCAAACACAGAGAGAGAAUAGUAUUACACAUCACCUGUGGUUGAUGAAAAAAAUGUGAGGCGUAUCUGGUUUUAAAUCUUAUCACAUAAUUAAAGACCAUUAAAGUACAGUGCAGAGGGCAAACUAUGUUGGCAAUAGCUGGACUUUAGACUGUGUCAACUUUUUCUUAACAGGGUUUGCUAUGGUUGAUACCUUACAUAUUUUAACUAAACAGAUAGAAGAAAAUAAGAAUUUUGUAUUUUGAAAUCGUAAUAUUUUGUCUCCCAAGUAUUAUACACAAAUAUACAGAAAUUAAAACACUGAGAUACCUUUGGCAGCCCUUGCAAACUCUGCAAAGAAUUCAAUUUAUCUCCAUUAAGAGCUAGUGGAGUCAUUACAUUCAAUUGACUUAAAUAGUACUUAAAUAGAUCAAAUCCCUAAAUCCACAGCCAUACCUGGCAACAUCCCCAAAACAAUAGUCAACAAAUUAUAUAUUUUUAAACACAACUGCAUGAAUAAAAGAUGGAAGAUAAAUGGAAGGAAAAGAACAUGAAAGACAGUGUAGAGCAAAACCAGAAGACAUCUUCCCUUCCCUUUUAAUAUGACCAGUUAUUUCAAGUCCAGCAUGGCUUAAAUCCAAUGCUAGACCUUUAGAACCCUAAACAGCUCAGAAAAUUGUCCUCACUUUCAACUGAGUAGCAUUUCCUUGCGGAGAAGGGUGUCAGUUCUGCUGCAUUUUGCAUGCUCAUAAGGAGGCAAGGGAGAGAACACAGAAGAAUGAGAUGCCCUUUCCUCAAGCCUAAGAGUGCUGAGGGCUGGGCACUCAAACCCAGAGCUGUGGCAGCAGCAGCAGCCCCACAGCUGCCCGGGUUUCAGAGAAAGGAAAAGCUGUGCACCCAACACAAGCUGGUAGCUUGGUCUCAUCUAUCUCCCUGCACAAGCAGUGGUCACAUUUUCUGACAGCAGGAACCCAGGAAAGGCUAAACCAAUGUGCAUUUCUCUUCAUCCUCCUUACAGAUGCUUUCAUGGAAAGCUCAGGAAAACCCCAGUCAAAAAGCAGCAGUGAAUAGGUAGAGAAUCCUACAUCCUAACCCCAAGUGUCCUGCAAGUUUCAUUUAACAUUACAGAUCAGAAAGCAGAUUUCCAGAUUAAAAAUAGACUUCAAAUCUAUUUUUAGGUGUGUUUUUAAAAAAGGCUUUAUUUUUAUGCGCCAAGUGGCCUGAGGCACCCAAGUGACCUCCAGGCCACUCAGUAUUUUUAAGGAGUGAAACAGCACUCUCCUGGACUUUUGAACAGAUAGAAGAGCAUUAUUUUACAUUAUGUUACAGGGAUUGCUUCCUGAACACUCUACCCAGUAAUUACAAGUUGCAUGGUGCAAUUUCAGUGCUGUCUACUACAAAAGUUUCUGCUUCAUAAAAGCACACCCAGAAUGCACCCAAAUGGUUACAACACCUUGUGUCAUCAAAGCCACACGCACCAGCCCUCAGACACACUCUCAGAUGUAGCAGGUUAAAGAAACAUUGGCUGGCAGUGUGGCUCAUGCCUGUAAGAGAAAAAUAUUCUCCUUACAAAUUGCUACUUUGAUACUAAAUUAAUACAUGGAAUUUAGACCAAAAUAAAUUUCUAAAAACAACCUACUCUCCUACUUCCAACAACUAUUUUCAGAAAACUUGACAUUGCCAACAAGAGGGAAAUGUAGGAGUGAAGGAUACCUCAUUUAUUGAGCUGCUGUAAACUCACAACCACUUUGCUGUCUAUGACUGAAAAUUAAAGUGUAAAGAAAAGCAAAUGGGAAUGGGAAAAAAUAAAAAUUUUAAAAAGUUUUUAAUAUGGAAUAAGUCUUAUUAUUUUGGGAAUUUGGUUCCACUUUUUUGGAAUCUAGCACAAGCAUUGUUUAAGUGUUUGCAAGUGCUGAUUUUUUGUUUCUAAACAAAAGAGACUCAAAUACAUAUGAGAAGUGCUCUUAUACCAGGAAGCACAGCAUUAACUGUAAUGUUAACAUAAAUAUUACAGCUGUUAUUGAUUGCAAAUACAAAUCAGGACUUCUAAGAUUACAUUCCUUUAAUUCUAAUGACUCAUAAGAAAGUGUAACUGCACUUCACCCAAAGCAAUUGAAAUUAGCAGCUGUCUAAAGGGACAAAUCUUGCCACAGACUGGCUCUGAUAACAUCCUAAUUUUUCCUUCAAGUGAGAUCAGCCAGCAGCUUGUCUCCAGUUGAUUCCAAAUGGUCUACUCCACUGAUUAAUUUAAAAAUACCUUUCUUUCAUGACCACAGAACUUAUUACAACAUUUAGGAUGUUACUGCUCUUCUAGAGUCUUCCAGAUGCAGUUUGCAUUUCUAAUACUAAAGAAGAACACACUUAGAAAUCUUCAGAUUUUGUCUAAUCAAAAAGCAUACCACUUCUCAAAGUGUUUCUAAAAACACCAUAAGCACAUACAAAUAAAUGAUUGCUUCCAGCAAAAAAAAAAAAAAAAUCAAUUUACUUAUGUAAGGUAUCUGUUCUUACACAUCACUUCUAUGAAAAUAUCAUGCAGAAACUAUGAAUAAUUUUUAGAUACAUUUAAAUAAAUUACUGCAGUUUAACAUGAUAAAUGGUUCUACAUUACAAUCUUUUCCAGUAGCAAAGCCCAAGUAAUUCCUGUCCUUUCUCAUGCAAUUGUUUCUACCAUUUUGCUAGUUUACUCAUCAGUAGUGCUGAUGCAACUGUUUGUGGAGCUGUACUCAAAGCCAAAACGAGAAAAAAUUACCUCAUUUUAGAAAACAACAGUACACUCACUCUUGUUCAUAGGUGUAAUUUUAGAACCUGUAAUUAGAAGGAAAAAAAAAACCCAAAUGUCACAAGUAUUCUAAGUGCCAGUUAAGAAAUCAUGAAUAUAAGGUGUAUUUCUGUUGAAUAGAAAGGUUCUUGUUUAACAGUUAAGAGUUAGAUCACUUACAGGUGGAAACUCAGAAAGUGAAUUACUGCCAGAUAGCCAAAGCUGUCUACAUUUCAUUUCAGGGGAAAAAAUGGUUUUAUUUAUAUUCCAGUUACAGCCUUUCCUGUUGGAGACAAAAGAACCUGAAACACAAAGAGCGAACUUUGCUCAGUUCCCUUUAGUGCCCAGCAGUGUAACUUUCAAAGCAGACCUGCACCCCAGGUAGCAGGAGGCUUCCACAGAGAAUAUUCAUGUUUGAAAGGAGAGCAGCACAUCUUUCUUUGGAACAUCGUCUCACAAGCGGUACAUGAUAAAAAUAUUGUACCUAUUUUUUCCUAUUCAAGAGUUACAGAGUUGGACAAGAGUGACCAAUUAUUUAGAACAAGUGAUGGUUCAUUUCUCCUUCAGAAAUGUUCAAAGCUAACUUCCUGCAUCAGUAGCAGAGGUGUCAGAGGCAGCCUCUGCAGCUGCAUCACUUUCUGUCGAAUGACUUUUCAGACCAAGUGCACCACUUCCACCCAGACAGGCAGGUCACGCACUCACUUGCAGUAUCAGGGAUUUUGCAGACUGGAGAGCAGAAUCCAGAACUAAUCACUGCCUUCCUCAUGGA